Equus asinus (donkey) is the source of this 131-nucleotide small nucleolar RNA. NCBI's taxonomy places the organism in Eukaryota, Metazoa, Chordata, Mammalia, Perissodactyla, Equidae. The record is from Ensembl.
UUGCAUGUAGAAAUGUCUCCUCUUCAUUCAUGUAGGAGCAGGGAUAUUCCGUAACAUGCCACAUUAAAAGAGUUUUCAGGGCUCCCAAUCUUGUAGUAAAGGUUGAGUAGUAGUAUAUUUCUCUUGCAUAA